This 384-nucleotide ribosomal RNA is filed under the name Acinetobacter baumannii. RNAcentral's name for it is "partial 23S ribosomal RNA". It matches the Rfam family "Bacterial large subunit ribosomal RNA", at positions 1548 to 1912 of the family's 2925-position model. The record is from RNAcentral. Lineage: Bacteria; Pseudomonadati; Pseudomonadota; Gammaproteobacteria; Moraxellales; Moraxellaceae.
AACCAAGGCUGAGGUGUGAUGACGAGGCACUACGGUGCUGAAGUAACAAAUGCCCUGCUUCCAGGAAAAGCCUCUAAGCAUCAGGUAACAUCAAAUCGUACCCCAAACCGACACAGGUGGUCAGGUAGAGAAUACCAAGGCGCUUGAGAGAACUCGGGUGAAGGAACUAGGCAAAAUGGUGCCGUAACUUCGGGAGAAGGCACGCUGGUGUGUAGGUGAAGUCCCUGCGGAUGGAGCUGAGACCAGUCGAAGAUACCAGCUGGCUGCAACUGUUUAUUAAAAACAUAGCACUCUGCAAACACGAAAGUGGACGUAUAGGGUGUGACGCCUGCCCGGUGCCGGAAGGUUAAUUGAUGGGGUUAUCCGUAAGGAGAAGCUCUUGAU